This 10088-nucleotide long non-coding RNA is filed under the name Gossypium barbadense (sea-island cotton). RNAcentral's name for it is "long non-coding RNA (GBAR_LNC012145)". The record is from RNAcentral. Lineage: Eukaryota; Viridiplantae; Streptophyta; Magnoliopsida; Malvales; Malvaceae.
UUUAUUAAAACAACAAAAAUUAAAAUUUGUUCGAUUCCCAAAGAAAAAUGUUUACAUAGCUCAAGAAACCUCCAAAACAAAACCAUUUGAGCAAAACAAACCAGAAAAGAAAACACUUGAGUUCCUCUGUAUGCCAGCCUUGAAAAUCCUUCAACUCCAGUCCUAAAUCGCCAAUAGAAGCAAUAUUAUGAAGCAUUUUCGUAUAAACGAUGUUUAAAAUCGAAUAUGCAGCACAUCUCAUAGAUACACAUUGUCUGAAACAACUCAGCUAGGCCCUGUCGCCUCCUCAGCCACUAGGUCCAUAAUCGUCGGAGGGCCCUCCUCCACCAACUACAUGUCUCGCUUUCGGAGAAAUCCCUCAAUUGCUAAAAGGUGAGCCAUUCAAUUUCCACCCCUUUUGAUGUGUUGAUAUUUAAACCUCUCAAAAUGCAAAUACUAAUCGGUUGGCCUCCUAUAUAUAAGUACUAAUCUCCAAUCUGUCAACCUUUUGUGCUUUUAAUUUUGAAAUAACCACUAUGGAGUCACAUUCCAAAAGAACACGGCGAAAACUCAUGUGUUGUGCAAGCGGAAUGGCCUGAACUGCAGCUAAGGCCUCUGCCACUUCAGCAGAUAGGACAUUCCUGUUCCAAGUACUAGAGGCUCCCAUUACCAACCCUGCCUCAUCUUUUAUGACGGAUAUUGCGUUGGAAAAUUGUAGAUUCUUAUAAAAACCUACAUCAAAGUUUACUUUUAACCAUCAGGGCUCUGGAGGGCACCAUCUCACCGGAGGUCCUUACGUGCUUGUCGGGUAAGUCUUCUCCAAUAGCACCAGUUCUUUAACAUAUCCUAGCACAAAAUUACACAAAUCAUUUACUAUUUGUCUUCUGCCUUCAUGCAUCAAUUUAUUUCGCAACAUCAGAGAUUUGCCUACAUAUAUGUAGAUUUUGUCUAGUAGGCACAUAGUUAUGUAUAAUUCUCCAUGUCGUAAUUUUCAUCUUUUCUAGGACUUUUGUUUCCCAAAGGUAUUUGUAUAAAAGCCUCAUGUAGGUCUCAAUAUCUCUGUAAAGAUCAUCAUCUGACCUAGGAAAACCCCUCAAUGGCACUCGGUAGCCACUCUGGACUGUAUACAUACCAGACUCAUCAGGACACCAUCGUAUUUAUCUACUAGGCCAUUGGGCGGCAACGGGAUACAAAGAAUCCUCUUAGCCUCUUACUCAUUAAAGGUAUUCCUCACAACAAAAUCUUUCCAAGUCCCUUCUUUAGCAUCAAUCAAAUCUGCAACCAUAGAAAUACCAUCAACCUUGUCUAAUUGAAUAAUCGUUGGUUUGUCCCCAGGCAACCAAGUUGUAUCCCAUACCGGAAUAUGCUCACUAUUCCAAAGCUUCAGCUGCUACCUUUCAGCAAAAGUCCCUUUACGGCCAAGACACUCCUCCAAAUUGCCGAAAGUUGACUCUUUAACUCAAUUCUCAUGAAAUCACUAUCCGCAUAAUAUUUAGAUUGCAAAAUUGAUGCUACUAGAGAUAUAGGGUUACAAAUAAGUCUCCAACCUUGUUUAGCUAGAAGCGCAAAAUUAAAUUUGGCUAGCUGCCUAAACCCCAAUCCACCCUAUUUCUUUAAAUUACAUAAAGCCUCCCAUGUACCCCAAUGUAUUCCACGAUUUGAUUGGAAUUUUUGCCACCAUUAGCAACUAAACACGAUUUCAAUAUCCUCGCAAAAGGUUUUUGGUAAUAGAAAACAUGAAAUGACAUAAGUAGGCCUAGCUUGUAAGACCGAUUUAAUAAAAAAAUUUUACCUCCCUAUGACAACCAACGAUUGGACCACCCACUGAUUUUUCCUUUAAUUCAAUCCAAAAUAAGAUAGAAUGCAGCUCUCUUAUUACGCCCUAUUAUUAUGAGAAGGCCCAAAUACUUCUCCGGGUUUUAAGGGCAUCUCACCCUAACUCAUUUUCCACUAAAACCCGGGUCUCAUCAGCAACUCUUGAACUAAAGUAGACCAGAGACUUACUAAAGUUAAUAACCUGCCCGAAACAAGCCUCGUAUUCAGCCAAAACAUUCUUAAUAUUUGUCGCCCUAGCCACUAAUGCCUCCCUAAAUAAAAUAUUGUUGUUAGUACGAGCGACUCAACUUUGCCCAUUUUACCAACCUAUCCUGUAUCGCUAACCGGAGCAAAACAGACAACCCCUCUAUGCAAAACAAGAAUAAGAAAUGGCUUAGAGGGUCACCUUGUUUUAGCCCACAAGUGGGUGAAAUAAAACCUCUGGUUUGCCUAUUCAACACCACUAAAUAACUAACAGUCUUCACGCAUCUCAUAACCAGCUCAACCAAAUCCACUCGAAAACCUAUUUUUAACAUCAUAUCUUCAAUCAUAUGUCAUUCCACCCUAUCAUAGGCCUUACUCAUAUCCAAAUUAAGCGCAAAAAAUCCACAUCUAUUCUCAGUCCUUUUUUUUUUAAAGAAUGUAGCAACUCAAAUACGACAAUAACAUUAUAUGCUAUAAGUCUACCUGGUAUGAACGCACUCUGUGCUUCAUUAAUACAAUGAGGCAUAAUCAUUUGUAAUUGAUGGACAAUUUCCUUAGUAAUAAUUUUCAAAAUAACAUUACAUAAGCUUAUUGGACGAAAGUGUGUCAUAUUAAUAGGCAUAGAUUGUUUUGGGAUAAGCACAAUAUUUUUAUGAUUAACCUCUACCAUUGGUCCUCUAUUAUUCAUAAUAUCAAGGCAUUAAGAGCUUACCUCUAAGCUAAUAAUGUGCCAAAACUGUUGGUAGAACAAAGUCGGCAUACCAUCCUCCCUCGGUGCCUUUGUAGGAUACAUUCUCCACAUCGCCGCACCAAUCUUUUCUUCAGUGAAUCGAGAGCACAAAAAAUCAUCCAUGCCAUCAGAAACAUGAACUAGAAUUCCCAUCAAAAGCCUUGUAUUAUCGCCCCUACCCCUUGAAGUAACCAGAUCAGUGAAGUAUCUACACGCAAUUUGUUGCAUCUCCUCAUUUCCCGCACUCAUUCUACCUUCUUCAUCUUCGAGCUGUCCUACAUAAUUAAUUUUCCUACGUUGGAAAUCCAUUCUUUGAAAAAACCCAGUAUUACGAUCCUCAUUCCUCAACCAGUUAGCUCUUGCUCUCUGUUCCCAAUAGCGUUCCCUUUUUAACAAUCUCCAAAUUGAGCUAUAUUUUUGUGAUGACCAAUUACUCCAGCGCUUCAUUAGUCGGAUAUGAAUUAUUAAGCUCGUCAAGCUUCUACCUUAAUUUAUCCAAGGUCAUUCGAGACAACUGUCUAUUCUCUCAAGCCCAAUUCAUCAAACCACGCUCGACAUAUCGAAUUAUAUCCAGUAUAGACCCAUCUGAGCUAUUCCAUAAUCUUUUAACCUCUCUUUUACAAGACUCUUCAAGCAAUAAUGUUGCUUCAAAUCUAAACUCACAUGUACUUUGUUCCUGUUGAUCUACCCUCCUACAAAUGUUAAGUAAAAUUGGGCAAUGAUCAGUUAUCGAAUGCAUGCAAUGCUUGAGAGAAAAAUUAGGAAAUAAAUUAUUCCAUUUUGGAUUUGCCACUCCCCUAUCAAGCAUUUCCUGUAUGUUAUUGUGGGCCAAUCUCCAAUGUUCCCAUGUAAACUAGUGGUCUUGAUAUCCCAAAUUCGACAAAUUACAAUCUUCCAAAGCUAUCAUGAAAGCCUCAAUUCCUCGCUCAUCCCUCAGCCUCCCCUUUGUUUCUCAUAAGAAUACAUAAUCUCAUUAAAAUCCUCCAUAAUCAGCCACAGUAUCGCACUUUUAGUAGAAAAAUCUCGUAAAUGAUCCUACAAAUAGUGUCUCAAGUUCUUUACAGGAUGCCCAUAAAACCCAGUAAACCUCCAAUGAGCACUUUCUACUUCUUCAAUAUUUAUAUCAAUAUGGCUCAACGAGAAGCUCCAUUCUAAAGAUAAACCACCCACUGUACCAUCACUACUAAUAUUGAUUCCCUCCAUCAAUCCCCAGCUCCUCCAUCUUCGAACUAUGUAUCUUUGUUUUCAUGAAAAAGUUACAUCAGGAUUAAUCUCCCUCAGCACCUACCAAAGGCAAGGUCUUGCACGGGGGUUCCCCAAACCCCAGACAUUUCAGCAUAAUAUUUUCAUUGCAUUCGACUGCUCUGUCUGUAGAGCCAACCGAUAUCUCAGAAUCAUGAACAAAGACAUAUCCAUCAAUAGCUUUCCCUGAAUUCAUUCUACUAGAAACAAAAGAAAACCGAGUAUUACGAGGCCUCUUAUCCCUUUCCCCUAAUUUCUAUUGGACAAUCCUCCUCUAUCAACUCUCUAUUCGGAUCAAGAUUCUCUAAAUCCCCAACAUCAAAAUUUACUCUUCCCCCCAUUUCAAACCAAGAUUGGCCUCUACUUGCCUUAAAAAAAUUGCAUGCAUUUUAGAAUAAACCUUGUAUAUUUUUAUUCUUCCCAUCUUGUCCACUCUCUAGAGUUCUCUUUAGUUCCCUCAAUCGUGGCCCCUCCUCCUUCUCCCUUAAUCACGGACUCGAUGCCACCAUUUCUUGUUUAGGGAUCGCGUUAAUCGAUAAAUUCUAGCUAAGCAGAACCUUUCCGAAUGACCCAAUUUGCGACAUAGAAAAUAGAACGCCGAUAGUUUCUCAUAAUGGAAACACGCAUAGAGAUACCAUUUACUACCCAAAAUAAGCUUCUUAUUCCUUAUUAACGGAUUUCUCAUAUCAAUCCGAACCCGAAUUUUUAUAUAGCCUCUAUACCCUUGAUGUAAAUAUUUCACAUCAUACUCUAAAAAUCACCUUACAAAAUCUCUAAACUAUUUGGCCAUCGUCUCUGACCUCAGGCUUGUUAGGAGAUCGUGAACCUGGACCCAAAAAUCAGACCAACACAGCAACCCUAGCAUGGGAUCCUCCUAUUCCCGCAAUCUAUGAAAUACGAACAAAUGAUUAUUAAAUGUCCAAUGACUCCCUUCCAAAAGUUGAUCCAGAUUUAUCUUAUAAUAGAAUUGAAACAUAAAUCGCUUUUCCCCUAGAUCUGUUAUUGUAACACCUCCAUGCGAAUGCCAUAAAUUAACCAAGGUUGCUUGGUAUUGCACAAUGCUCACUGUUAAGGAAUCGUCGACUACACUCAGAUCCGCCCCCUCCUCUCUCGUCUCCUUGCCCAAAUCGACAUUCCAACCCACCUCCUCUCCAUUAGUAAUCAACAACGCCGUUAAGCCCUAUUUCAUUCUUGAAGCACUACCAUCUAUCAAAACCCUAAACUAGAUUCAAAACGUGCUAUUAGAAGUAGACUAAAAACGUGCUAUUAGAAGUAGACUAACAUGCUUCUUUUCAAAAUUGAAACACAACACUAAAAAUUAAGGGUUGAAAAUUUAAACAUUGAAUUUAAGUUAUAAAAUUUGUUUGUUAUACAUAUUUCUUAAAUUUAAAUAUGAAAUAUAAUUAGAUGAUUUGAUAAAUACAAUUUUAAAAAUUUUAAAAAUAAAGUAUUUAAAAGAUAAAAUAAAUAAAAUAAAAAGAAUUGAAAAUUUUCUACUAAGUGAUAGGUAGCUCUUUAUCUACUUAUCAUUUUCCACACUUUUUCAUUGAAAAAAUUCAAUCAUUUGAUUUUUAUUAUGAAUUAUCAAAUGUGUUAAAAAAUUUAAAUAACUGAAAAUAUUAAUUUUUAGCUAAUUUAUUUUUCAAUGGUUAUCAAACAAGGCUUAGGAGUUGUCUGAUAAAUUAAAAAUUUAAGUGUUGAAAAAUUAAGUACUUAAUUUUAAAUAUAAGUGUUCAAUAUAAUCAUAUUAUUUGGUAAAAGUAAAUAUUGAUUUUGUUAAUUUUAAUUUUAUUAAUAUAAUAUUUCAUAUUAUUUUGGAUAGAUUUAGAUAAAAGUUAAAUAUGAUAAUUGAAUAUCUCAAUUUUAAAAUAUAUAUAUAUAUAAAAUUUUAAUAAAGUAUAAUCAACUAAUUGAGUGUUAAUUAGUUACCUAUCUAUUUAUCCUAUACAACAUUUUUUUUAUUUAAAAUUUUAUAAUAAGUAAAAUAUUAAUAAAAACAUUAUGAAACACAUUUAAAAUAAUAAAAUGUUGAAAUGAAAAUUUGUAAUGAUUGAUUAUUUAACAAUUAUUGAUCAACACUUAAUUUCUUUUCAAUUUAUCAUAGGAUGUUUGGUGGGUUGAAUUGAACCUAUUUUGAAUUAGUGAAAACUUCUCUGAUUCUUUUAGAAAAAUACCCACCUAAUAAUGCAAGGUAAAAAUGCCAAUAAAUUGCCAGUGUUUGAAUUGUUUAGGAAUAUUAGUUUUGUGGGGAAAGGGUUUCUAUUAUUAUUAUUAUUAAAAACUAUUUUUUUGGGGAUUUGUUAUUCCUUGCAUUGCUUUUAUAUUAUUUUAAUUUGAUAGAAACGAAUAUUCUCUUCCUUUUUACUUUAUAUUUUACAAAGUUAAAUUCUUUUUAAAACAAUCAACUUGAGUGGAUUGAGUUUUAGUUCAAUUAACAUGAGUAUUAUUAUCAAUAUAGGAGGAUGUAGAUUCAAGUGUACUAAAACACAUUAUAAAAUUUGUUAACAGAAUCCCACGUGUCUUAAGUUCACUAACAGCAAUAAUAUAUCAUGUUUACGUGUCUCCUUAACGGUGAAAUUAAAUGUGGUCAAAGUAUUUGAUGAACCAUUAAGUGCUGAUGUGGCAUGGAGAGCUUAAUUAUUUUUAAUUAUUUUGCAAUAGUUCUUUUAACAUUUAAGCUUAUUUUUAAAAAAAUAAAAAAACUAUAAAAACAUAGACAAUUACAUAAAAAAUUGUAAAAUGUUAUUAUAAUUAUAUAUUACAGUUCAUCAUCGUGAACCCUGACACCAACUUUCCUCGUACUAAAACAAUUAUUAUCACGCAUCUCAAGCUGCAAAUAAUAAAUUCAUUGUCACUCAAACCUAAAAAUGUCAAUAAGUCGGGGUCGAGAUUCGGUUUCAAAAAAUUUGUCAAGUCUAAGCUUAUUUUCCAACUGGUUUAACCCGCCUAAAACACCCGUUUUAGUAUAAAAAAUAAGAUAUAUUAAAAUAUAUUUUUAGUUGAUAUUUUUAUAAAUAAAUUUAAAUUUUAAAAAUAUUAUUUUAUUAUUUAAAUUGAAUUUGAAUUGGAUUGGGUUGAGUUGAGACGAGGUGAAAAAUCAUUGUCCCUGAGUCGAGCCAAAUGAGCUACCCUACCUUUAGACAGGUCUAUUCAAACCUUUCACUUGGCAUUCUAUAUAAGUCUAAUCACCAUUACACUUCAAUCUUCUCAUUUCCUUAUUACUAAAAUCAAAGACUCCAUAGAAAAAUUUUUUUCCUUUAUUUUUAUAUAUAUUUUUAUAAAAUUUUAUUAAUUUUCUAUAAUUUUAUAGUUUUUUUUAAUAAUAUUUCAGUAGUUCUAAAAUGUUAUAAUACUUCAACAUUACUUUUUCAUAUUAUCAUAUUAUUUAAUAAAUUUAUGAUGAUUUAUUUAACAUUUUAGUCUAUUAUUUUCAACUAAAACUAUUAAACUCGUAUUCCAAAUAUAUAUUGAAAAUGCAAGAAAUUUCAUUUAUCUUUUUUAUUAUUAUUACUUAUUAGUUAUUAUGAUGUUUUUUAAUUGAAAAGAAAUAUAUCAUUAGAUUGAAAAACGAAGGAAAAAAUGGAUUGAAAAUCGAAUUAUGGUUUGACUUGAUUUGACCCAUGAAUAUGAGUAGUAAUAAGCCUCUACCUUUUGCUUCUACCAAGCUGGCACCGUGGUUGGUACUUGAUGCACAAGCAACAGUCAAGCAGUUGUUUAUAUUUAAAAUUUUAAUAAAAGAGAAAAUAUAUAAUUAUUAAAUAUUAAAUUAAAAACCACGUAAUAUUCUAUUAUUAGUACAUGUAUUUUGUAUAAGUUAUAAAUUCGGUUUUUAUAUUGUAUUAUUAGUACAUGUAGUAAUGAAAUUUUGCCAAAUAAUUUGUUAGUAGAAAUAAUUAAUGUUGUCAUCAAUGGUCUUUAGUAAGAGAUUUUUUACUCUGUAGAAGAAGACAAUAAAGUGUUAUUUGCUUAGAGUUGAUUGAUUUCUUAAGAAAUCCGAUAUCAUUCUCAGAGAGGGAUUAUGUUUCUUGAUUUUUUUUUUGAAAGUUUGAAUACUGGAAGAGGCAAUGUGUUCAUAGAGCUGACAAUGCCUCGCACAAUGCAUAGGCAAACCACUUAGCACAAGUGGAAUUCAACUUGCACCCAUGCCUCAUUUAGGACAUAGGUUCAAAUUCCAUCAAUUGCAACCUUUUUAGUUUCUUCAAUGGCUCGCUUGUUUAGACUUCUGACAAAGUAAUCCCGCUUUGUAAAUCCGUCAUCUCUUCAAAUAAUUGGGCUUUUGACAAUACCGAGAGACAAAACUCUCAUUAGGGACAAUACCAAACUCGUUAAAAGGCAUGCCGGUUUUAUGUUGACACACUUUGUGUAACGACUCAACUUUUGUCAAUGUAAAAAAAUUUGAUUUUCGGAUUGAAUUUCUUGAAUCGAGUCAUUCUGAAUAGUUGAAACGAAAGUGGUGAAAUAAAGAAAUCAUUAAGUAAAUUAUUAAGGAAAAUUUUGAAAUUAUAUUUAGAAGUUAACAAUUAUGGUACAAGGACUAACUUGUAAGGUAGCUAAAUUUAAGAGAUCUAAUAAGAGAUUAAAUCAAGGCCUUGUGAGCAAAUUGGCCACAACACAAAUUAAGUUAAUGGGAGAAUUAUGAUCUAAACCAUUAAUCUCCACUAACUAGUUUAGAUAUUAUCAUUAGCCAUUGAUUUAAGUGUUAAGAUUUAAUUAAAGUAAAGAAUAUAGGUUAGUGGUGAGAGAAAAUAAAACAUUUUUCACUUAGAAUUUUUCAUCUUCUUCCAUCGAAAUUGAGAGAAGGAAAAGAGAAAAUCAUUUUGAAAGUUCCUCCAUUGCCGAAGCUUCAACUCCAAGAGUGGGUAAGCUUUCUCUGAAUUUUUGUUUAAUUAAAUGGUGUUAAAUGAAAGUUUAGAGUUAGCUAUUAGUUUGAGUAUAAAAUUAAAAGAAACUAUACUAAAAUAACCAUGGGUAUUGAAUGCUUGAAGGAGUUGAGUAAGGGUUUUAUGUAUUCAUAACUUUCAAUUGAUAAAUUAGCUAUUAAGUGGCUACUUAAUGAUGGUUCAUGAUUUUGAUAUUUGUAUUUGUAUGUAUUUAUAUGUGUUGAAGAGAUAACUAGAGGGAGCUCUAGCAAGGAAAAAGACCAAGUCGUGAAGUGACGGCUUUUUGAAGAGUUUUCACUUGUUUUGGUCAUUUUGGAUAGGUAAGUUCACAUGGAAACUUCUAUAUUUACUUCUUGUCUGAGUGUAAUGUGAAUUGAAAUUAUGAUAUGUGGAAAUGUUUAAGUGUUAUAUGUAUAAUAGGUAAGUUAUGGGGUAUUGAAAAUGUGGUCCAAAUGGUUUUGAACUUGUCUUGCAUGUGAAUGUAUUCAAUGGUUAAAUAUAUUCUUAGAGAAGAGAACCAGAAAGUUGAUAGAUUGAUAAAGUUGGCUCACAUAAACAAGGGUUGCAAAUUUUUGAAAUCUCUCCGCUCUGGGGUUUAAAUUGUGUUUCUUUAUUUUCUUAUUUAUCACCAAAAAAUAAUAAUAAUAUUGUAAUGGCCUAAAUUCAAAAUUAUCGGAAUAGUGGUUUCGUAACAACCACAAAUUUGAUUUAAAGAGAAAUUAUUUUAAAAAAUUAUUGCAUGAAUAUUAAUAUAAUAGGAAAAUUGUAUGAAAAUAUCGAUAGAAAAAUUUUACCGAUUUAGUGGUUAGUUAGAAAAAAAUUUAUUAUUGAAGAAAUUGGGUAAAAACAAGGUAUCGAGAUCUCGAUCUCAUAAAAAUGAUUUGGAAAUAUUUUUAUAAAUAUUUAUGAAAUUUUAGUGAUUCGGUAUUAAAAUUUCGUUAGAAAAUUUUAAUGUUUGGGUAGUCAAUUAAAUGAAAAGGACUAAAUUGGAAAAUGUGUAAAAGUUACUAGAAUGAUUAAAUAGCUUAAGUGUCUAAUGAGAAAGGAUUUAAAAGAAAAUUAGACCCAAAAUUUAUUUGGGCUGGACGGCAAGGGCAUGAAAUCAGCAGGAAAAUUGAUGAUUUAAGGGCAAAAUUGGAAUAUUACAUAAUUAACUAAAUAAAAAUAGGACUAAAUAUGGAAUAUCUAGAUUUCUCUUCAUUUUUCUUCAUUCUUAUCAGCCAAAACGCCAUAGGAGG